GUGGUCCUACGGGGGGCAGCAGUGGGGAAUAUUGCACAAUGGGGGGAACCCUGAUGCAGCGACGCCGCGUGAAGGAAGAAGUAUUUCGGUAUGGAAACUUCUAUCAGCAGGGAAGAAAAAGGACGGUACCUGACUAAGAAGCCCCGGCUAACUACGUGCCAGCAGCCGAGGUAAUACGUAGGGGGCGAGCGCUAUCCGGAUUUACUGGGUGUAAAGGGGGCGCAGACGGCCAUGGCAAGCCCGGUGUGAAUGGUGCGGGCACAACCCGCAGACUGCACUGGUAACUGCCUGGCUGGCGUGCCGGG
Molecule: ribosomal RNA, 305 nt
Filed under: uncultured bacterium
Lineage: Bacteria
Description: partial 16S ribosomal RNA
Rfam family: Bacterial small subunit ribosomal RNA
Source: RNAcentral